GACGAACGCUGGCGGCGUGCUUAACACAUGCAAGUCGAACGGAAAGGCCCUGCUUUUGUGGGGUGCUCGAGUGGCGAACGGGUGAGUAACACGUGAGUAACCUGCCCUUGACUUUGGGAUAACUUCAGGAAACUGGGGCUAAUACCGGAUAGGAGCUCCUGCUGCAUGGUGGGGGUUGGAAAGUUUCGGCGGGUGGGGAUGGACUCGCGGCUGAUGAGCUUGUUGGUGGGGGAGUGGCUUACCAAGGCUUUGACGGGUAGCCGGCCUGGGAGGGUGACCGGCCACAUUGGGCCUGAGAUACGGCCCAGACUCCUACGGGAGGCAGCAGUGGGGAAUAUUGCCCAAUGGGCCGAAGCCUGAUGCAGAAACGCUGCGUGCGGGAUGACGGCCUUCGGGUUGUAAACAGCUUUCGCCUGUGACGAAGCGUGAGUGACGGUAAUGGGUAAAGAAGCACCGGCUAACUACGUG
RNAcentral lists this ribosomal RNA (468 nucleotides) under uncultured bacterium. RNAcentral describes it as "partial 16S ribosomal RNA". It matches the Rfam family "Bacterial small subunit ribosomal RNA", at positions 28 to 507 of the family's 1533-position model. The record is from RNAcentral.